GGGCACCGAAGAAGCAAGCCACAACCCCAUGGCACACCCUGCAAGGGGGACAAGGGAACUUUUCCCGUUUCAUUACCACAUGUGGCUAUUGAGCAUUGAAAUGUGGCUAGUCUGAAAUUAGAUAUGCUACAGGUGUCAUAUUUACACCAAGGUUUGAAGACUUGAUAUGGGAAAAGGAAUGUAACAUAUUCCAUUAGUAAAAUUUAUAUUGAUUACAUCUUGGAAUCUAUGUUUUAGAUAUAUUGGGUUAAAAUUACUCAAUUACUAAAAGUAAUUUCACCUCUUUUUUUUUUUUUUUUUUUGAGACAGAGUCUCACUCCGUCUCCCAGACUGGAGUGCAGUAGUGUGAUCUCAGCUCACUGCAACCUCCACCAGUUGAAGUGAUUUUCUUGCCUCAGCCUUCCGAGUAGCUGGGACUACAGGUGCAUGCCACCACACCUGGCUAGUUUUUGUAUUUUAGUAGAGACAAAGUUUCAUCCUGUUGGCCAGGCUGAUCUUGAACUCCUGACCUUAAGUGAUCUGCCCGCCUCAUCCUCCCAAAGUGCUGGGAUUACAGGCACGAGCCACUGUGCCCAACCCACCUGUUUCUUUUUACUUUUUAACACAGCUGCUAGAAAAUUUCGAGUAAUGCAUGUGGGUGACUCACAUUAUAUUUUUUGGAUAGCAUAGGUCUACAGAGCAGCUAGCGUAAAGAAGGAAAGAGAAAGGGGAUCUUGGAGCUCUUCUAAAACCUGGGAUGUCUCUGCCUGUUAAUAAGAAGAGUGACAGCUUUCACAGUGACUCACAACUUUCAGGAUGCUCUGAUUCUGGGCAACGUUUUUUGAGAAGCUGGACACACUGGGCCUGAGGAGCAUCUUUGGUGCUCUUGAGUACAAGUUUCUGAUAACUUUGGAGAUUGUGACAUCAGAAUAGAGGAAAAACUUUUAGGACUCAUGGAGAAGUGAAAUGUUCAUGAACAUCAGGCAGAACAGGAAUUAACUGCAUGGACAGAACUAAUACAAAACUGAGGACAUGAGACUUCACAACCUGCUAAAAAUGAACUUUCCUAAUAACUGGGGACCUACCCGUCUAGGAAUAAACCAUCCUAGCCAUGACAGAUCAGAUGAAACCUGAGACCAGAGACUCAUUUUCUCCUAAAAUGCUUUCUCCAAAAGAUUUUUAAAAAGAAAAGGGGGAAAAUAUGAAUGGAAAAUAAAUCUUGGGGCCCCAACAUCACUAAGCUAAAGGGAAAAGUCAAGCUGGGAACUGCUUAGGGCCAACCUGCCUCCCAUUCUAUUCAAAGUCACCUCUCUGCUCACUGAGAUAAGUGUAUAUCUGACUGCCUCAUUUGGAGAGGCUAAUCAGAAACUCAAAAGAAUGCAACCAUUUGUCUCUUAUCUACCUAUGACCUGGAAACCCCCUCCGCACUUUGAGUUGUCCCACCUGUGAAAGGAAAAUAAAUCUUGGGGCCCCCAAAUCACUAAGCUAAAGGGAAAAGUCAAGCUGAGAACUGCUUAGGGCCAACCAUCCUCUCAUUCUAUUCACAGUCACCCCUCUGCUCACUGAGAUAGAUGCUAUCUGAUUGCCUCCUUUGGAAAGGCUAAGCAGAAACUCAAAAGAAUGCAACUUUCCAUCUCUCACCUAUCUGUGACCUGGAAGCCCAGUCCCUGCUUUGAGUCUUCCUGCCUUUGCUUCAAGCUGUCCCGCCUUUCCAGACCAAACCAAUGUACUUCUUACAUAUAUUGAUGUCUCAUGUCUCAUGUCUCCCUAAAAUGUAUAAAACUAAACUGUGCCCCUACCACCUUGGGCACAUGUCGUCAGGACUUCCUGAGGCUGUGUCAUGGGCACAUCCUCUACCCUGGCAAAAUAAACUUUCUAAAUUAACUGGGACCUACCUCAAAUUAUCUGGGUUCACACGCCUUUGCCUCGAGUUGUCCCACCUUUCCGGACUGAACCAAUGUACAUCUUAACACAUACUGAUUGAUGUCUAAUGUCUCUCUAAAAUGUAUAAAACCAAGCUGUGCUCUGACCACCUUAGGCACUUGUCAUCAGGAUCUCCUGAGGCCAUAUUAUGGGUGCACGUCCUCAACCUUGGCAAAAUAAGCUUUCUAAAUUAACUGAGACGUGUCUCAGAUUUUCGGGAUUCACAAUCUCCACUCUUCACCAAACCUACAAUAAAAAACCCUCAGCUUCUCAGCUUUAACUGUUUCUUCGGGUCUUCAUUUUCUUAUGAAGGUUCAUGUGUCACAUAAAACUUUAAAAAAUUUGUACACUUUUCUCUCAUUAAUCUGUCUUCUGUUAUAGGGCCUCAGCCAUGAACUUGGAAUGGGUAGAUUAAAAAAAAUAUUUUUCCUCCCCUACACAUUUUUUUUUUUUUUUUUGAGACGGAGUCUCAGUCUGUUGACCAGGCUCAAGUGCAAUGGCGUGGUCUUGGCUCACUGCAACCUCUGCCUCCCAGUUUAAGCAAUUAUCCUGCCUCAGCCUCCUGACUAGCUGGGACUACAGGCGCGUGCCACCACACCUGGCUAAUUUUUUUGUAUUUUUAGUAGAGAUCGGGUUUCAUCAUGUUGGCCAGGCUGGUCUUGAACUCCUGACCUCAUGAUCCGCCCGCCUCGGCCUCGCAAAGUGCUGAGAUUACAGGCGUGAGCCACCACACCUGGCCCUCCCCUACACAUUUCUAAGUAUCUUACCUGAUUUUCUAUGGCACCUUUGGGUUGCAGAACCUUAGCUGUAGGAGAAAUGGUGGUGACGGCCAAUGUCUGGCACUGACUUUAACAGAGUACAGAUGUGUAUGUAAAUAGUACUUAUUUUAACAAAAUAGAAAGUUCAAGAAAGAAAUACAGCAACAAAAGUGACAAUUAGAUUGGAAGAGACCCAUUCUUGUUUGCUUGUUUUCUCCAUAAGCCAUCUAGCUUUUUUUUUUUUUUUUGUGAGACGGUCUCACUGUCUCCCAGGCUGGAGUGCAGUGGUGCCAUCACAGCUCACCUCAGCCUUGACCUCCCAGGCUCAAGUGAUCCUCCCACCUUAGCCUCUCAAGUAGCUGGAAGUAUAGGCAUGUACCACCAUGCCCAGCUAAUUUUUUUUUAUUUUUCAUGGAGACAGGGUCUCACUAUAUUGCCCAAGCCAGUCUUGAAUUCCUGGGCUGAAGCGAUCCUCCUGCCUCAGCCUCCCAAAAUGUUGGGAUUAUAGUCAUGAGCUACCAUGCCCAGCCCUAACUCCAUUCUUAAUUGUCACUUAGCCUACACUUUCACUUCAUUGACAUUUAUAGGCUGACAACAAGCAGAUGAAGAUACCAUUGAAACAGUGCCACCACUCACCCAACUGUCCUGUCAGUCAGGAAAAGCACAUCCCCACUGGGUCUCAGAGCUCUCGGCCCGUUGUCUUUGCACUGUGUGACCACACACAAAACCAGGUAAAGUAUUUACCUGCUUUGUUCAGGAGGCUGUCCUUGGCUCUCUAGUUUCUGAUAGGACCCCAUUUUAAACUCUCAAGCCCCCUUGUCCUUGUUCUUUGAUAGUGUCAUAGCCUCUAAACAUAUCACAAUUAUUAAUAUAAUUAAAUACUUAUUUCCCUAUAGAUUUGUUUAAAGCCUGCCUUCCCCCAAGAGAUGGUCAGGUCUGAAGGCAGGUUUGUUACAGAUGACAGGCUCUUGGGCUCAUCAUGUAAUAAAAGUUAACAUGGGGACAAGCAGAUUUCCAGAAAAGGCUUUUAUCUUGGGGCUUGUGCUCGAGUGCAGGGGAGACACCAGAGGUACAAGGACCCUCAAGCUGACUCCCUGAAAAGGUGGUAGGGAUUUUUUUUAUUAGGCAAACACAGGAAUUGGUAUCAUGGGUAGGGUAUGCAGGCUGGCCUGGGCAAAGCACGUGACGGGUAGGGGAUGCUGGUUAGCGUAUCUAGUUGUGAUGGUUAUCUUGAGUAAUGGGCCACCUGGGGGUCUGGCCAGCUGUAACAAGGCUGCAAAUCAAUUGUUCAGGGUUCCUUCCCUUCCCAUGAUGGGACAUUCUGAAACCUCGGUUUGAUGUUUAGAUUUCCUAAGGCCAGUUCCUGGAAUUCUUUUAAGUAAAAGGCAUGAUUAAACAUUAUGAGAGCACAGAAGAAUGGCUAUUUUCUUUGUAAGCCUGAAGCCUUAUCUAAAACCAAUUGUCAGCAAGGCAGGGGUGUGGGUCUUGUGAUCAGUGAGACAAGAAGAAAAAAAAAAACGUGAAAAAGGAACUGAGUUCCUUUUCUAUUCUAUCUGAGGUUACUCCCCACUGCACCCCCGGCACCUGACAUUGUGAGAGGCAUUUGAACCAGAGUGACUCCAUCUUGAAUAGGGGCUGGGUAAAAUGAAUCUGAGACCUACUGGGCUGCAUUCCCAGGAGGUUAGGCAUUCUUAGUCACAGGAUGAGAUAGGAGGUUGGCAGGACUGGUAUCACAAGAUACAGGUCAUAAAAACUCUGACCAUAAAACAAGAUGUGGUAUAGAAGCCAGCCAAAACCAAGAUGGUGAGAAAAGUGACCUCUAGUCAUCCUCACUGCUCAUUAUACUCAAAUUAUAAUGCAUUAGCAUGCUUAAAGAAAUUUCCACUAGCACCAUGACAGCUUACAAAUGCCAUGGCAGUGUUCAGAAGUUACCCUAUAUAGUCUAAAAAGGGGAGGAACCCUCAGUUCCAGGAAUUCCCCACCCCUUUCCCAGAAAACUCAUGAAUGAUCUACCCUUUAUUUAGCAUAUGAUCAAGAAAUAACCAUAAGUAUACCCAGUCAGCAGCGCGUGCCGCUGCUGUGUCUAUGGAGUAGCCAUUCUUUUGUCUCUUUUACUUCUCUAAUAAACUUUAUUCUAUGAAUUUGCCCCCAAAUUCUUUCUUGCGCAAGAUCCAAGAACCCUCUUUUGGGGUCUGGACUGGGACCCCUAUCACCAUGCCUGGCUCAAGAAACAUUUGUUGAGUAAUGAUUUAUAGUGACUUUCUAUGUGCUCAUGUCUCACUCUUGUUCCAGUACCUGUAUGCUAAGCAGCCAUGCUACUGUCCUUCUGUGCUUCCCUACAUUCCAAGUUCAAGGGGACAGGAUGGUUUAUUGUUUCUUAAGUGCUUGUCUUUCUGGUCCUGUUUACAUGCAUCAUUAGCCCACAGGAAAGCACUCUGUUACAAAUGACUUUAGAAAUCACAAUCAUUAAAAUUGAAAACUUCCAUUUAAGCCAGACUACCCCUUUGUGAUGUUAAAAGUGUUGCCUCUGAGCUUCCAACCCCCUCUCUAUGAGGCCUAUUCCAGCUUUUAACCUACCGUGGGUGCGGGCUUUUCAUUUGGAGCCUCUUGUGAUCUUCAAGCUGUAAUUUUCGCAAGCAGGGCCCUAAAGCUCUUUAAUUUUUUUGUUUACCAGAAUUACUCAUUUCAUUUUUGUAUGUGCUUGGUAGAUGAAUUUUCUGUGGCAUCUUACAAAAUAAGGCCAUAAUACCUUAUGGCAUUAAAAAAAAGUUGGGGGGGGAGCAAAACCACCACAAAAAAAUUAACUGAACAAUUAAAAUAUUUAAAUUAGUAUUAGAAAGCUUAAAUGUAGGCAACAACUAAGUCAUCUCAAGCACAUUCAACAGGAAAAAGUAGAAAACAUACUAGAUAAGAACGUCAGAGAAUGGGGCAAGGACUGGGGGAGGUGAAGGAGGUGCAGAGCUGGAUCCUGUCUUUAUUUGAAAAUUUGAUUUUGUGUUCAAAUGUGAAUUAUUUCAUUUUGAUUUUUUUUUUUUUUUUUUUUGAGACGGAGUCUUGCUCUUGUCGCUCAGGCUGGAGUGCAAUGGUGCAAUCUCAGCUCACUGCAACCUCCGCCUCCCGGGCUCAAGCAAUUCUCCUGCUUCAUCCUCCCAAGUAGCUGGGAUUACAGGCACGGGCCACCAUGCC
RNAcentral lists this long non-coding RNA (5846 nucleotides) under Homo sapiens (human). RNAcentral describes it as "HSALNT0280533". The record is from RNAcentral. Lineage: Eukaryota; Metazoa; Chordata; Mammalia; Primates; Hominidae.